GAGCAGAACACAACACAAUCUUCAUCAUCACACAAGACACAACAACAACAAUGAACAGCAACCUCAUCCUCAUCUGGACCAUUGUAGCUUUUAUUCAUGAAUCCAGAGGACUCACUGUGACUCAGCCUAAAGUUAAAACUGUGCAACAGGGUCAAACAGUUACAAUAGAGUGUAGUAUGGAUGUAGGAAUAUACAGCAACUACUUAGCCUGGUAUCAGCAGAAACCUGGAGAAGCUCCUAAACUCCUCAUUUAUUACAUAAACACCCUCCAGUCAGGAACUCCAUCUAGAUUCAGUGGCAGUGGAUCUUACUCUGGAACUGAUUUCUCUCUGACCAUCAGUGGAGUCCAGACUGAAGACACAGGAGAUUAUUACUGUCUGAGUUACCACUACAUCAACAGUAAAGAUGUGUUCACACAGUGAUAAAGAGUCGUACAAAAACCUCCGUCAGUCAGAGUCACAGUGACUGCACUGAUACACCUGAGAGACA
This is a non-coding RNA of Sinocyclocheilus grahami, 489 nucleotides long. NCBI's taxonomy places the organism in Eukaryota, Metazoa, Chordata, Actinopteri, Cypriniformes, Cyprinidae. The record is from the annotation of a RefSeq genome assembly.